UUCAAAUUUGUCUGACUUUGUCUUUAAAAAUAUAUAUAUGUAAGCCUUUUGAACUAAUUAAACUUGAAUGCCAAAGAACCGUAUAAAGAUGCCAAGGUCAGAGAUUUAAAUGCCUCGAUCAAUUAUAACGAGAGCGAUGCAAUUUAUGCAAUAUGAAACGCUACAUCCCUCUUUACAUCCCCGUUUUGCACGCGAGAGCGAAUGAGCGGAAGAGCGAAAGUUGAAAAAAAAAGUACUCUCAUCGCAAUGCGCGGUGUAUUUUAUUUUUCUUUUGCCCCGAAGGAACAAAAAACUUGAAUCGCGUCGAGGGGAGAAGCAAGCGCGAGUCUGUAGGUAAACCACGUCAGCUAUCUAAAUUAAACUUUUCCAUCCCUUCGGACUUCCUCCUUCUCCCUUCCUUCUCGACGACUAUGCAAUAUAUCAAAUCGUCUGUCAUAAAUCUAAAGCUUGAAUCGCGUCGAAUGUUGAUGUAACUGAUCGUUAAGAAAACUGCCGUUGGAAGCCAGGUGCGAUCAAAGAGGGAGAUAACAGAACAAUAAAAAUUAUCGAUAUUGACAGGUGUCAGAGACCUUUUACGAAUAUUUGAUUUCGAAAAAAAUAAUGAGUUACAUUUAUUUAUUAAAAUUUUUAAAAAUAAAGAUACAGUUUAAUUUAAAGUUCUGGGAUGAAAAUUCAAUGUACGAGGUAUCGAGACUUAACAAAAAUUUAUUUAUGCCGUUGGAAGCCAGGUGCGAUCAAAGAGGGAGAUAACAGAACAAUAAAAAUUAUCGAUAUUGACAGGUGUCAGAGACCUUUUACGAAUAAUUGAUUUCGAAAAAAAUAAUGAGUUACAUUUAUUUAUUAAAAUUUUUAAAAAUAAAGAUACAGUUUAAUUUAAAGUUCUGGGAUGAAAAUUCAAUGUACGAGGUAUCGAGACUUAACAAAAAUUUAUUUAUGCCGUUGGAAGCCAGGUGCGAUCAAAGAGGGAAAUAACAGAACAAUAAAAAUUAUCGAUAUUGACAGGUGUCAGAGACCUUUUACGAAUAAUUGAUUUCGA
Nylanderia fulva is the source of this 1036-nucleotide non-coding RNA. Lineage: Eukaryota; Metazoa; Arthropoda; Insecta; Hymenoptera; Formicidae. The record is from RefSeq and is a predicted model, not a curated record.